GGUCAGGAUAACGCUAGCGGCAGGCCUUAUACAUGCAAGUCGAGGGGUAACACGACGCUUCGGUGUGAUGACGACCGGCGCACGGGUGCGUAACGCGCAUGCAAUCUACUUACAGCAGAGGGAUAGCCCGUGGAAACAUGGAGUCAUACUUCAUAAUACAGGGGUCCCGCAUGGGGAUAUUGCUAAAGAUUUAUCGGCCGUAGAUGCGCAUGCGUCGCAUUAGCUAGUUGGUACGGUAGCGGCGUACCAAGCCGAUGAUAGGUAGAGGUUCUGAGAGGAUGAUCCCCCACACUGGUACUGAGAUACGGACCAGACUCCUACGGGAGGCAGCAGUAGGGAAUAUUGGACAAUGGAGGCAACUCUGAUCCAGCCAUGCCGCGUGCAGGAAGACUGCCCUAUGGGUUGUAAACUGCUUUUAUACAGGAAGAAACCGCUCUACGUGUAGAGCUCUGACGGUACUGUAAGAAUAAGGAUCGGCUAACUCCGUGCCAGCAGCCGCGGUAAUACGGAGGAUCCAAGCGUUAUCCGGAAUCAUUGGGUUUAAAGGGUCCGUAGUUGGAUAAUUAAGUCAGAGGUGAAAGUUUGCAGCUUAACUGUAAAAUUGCCUCUGAUACUGGUUAUCUUGAAUCAUUACGAAGUGGUUAGAAUAUUUAGUGUAGCGGUGAAACGCAUAGAUAUUACAUAGAAUUCCAAUUGCGAAGGCAGAUCAUUAAUAAUGUAUUGACCCUGAUGGUCGAAAGCGUAGGUAGCGAACGGGAUUAGAUACCCCGGUAGUCUACGCCGUAAACGAUGGAUACUAGCUGUUGGCCUUCGGUUCAGUGGUUAAGCGAAAGUGAUAAGUAUCCCACCUGGGGAGUACGUUCGCAAGAAUGCAACUCAAA
RNAcentral lists this ribosomal RNA (881 nucleotides) under uncultured marine bacterium. RNAcentral describes it as "bacterial SSU rRNA". It matches the Rfam family "Bacterial small subunit ribosomal RNA", at positions 22 to 905 of the family's 1533-position model. The record is from RNAcentral.